Long non-coding RNA from Ornithorhynchus anatinus (platypus), 1504 nucleotides. RefSeq lists it as uncharacterized. NCBI's taxonomy places the organism in Eukaryota, Metazoa, Chordata, Mammalia, Monotremata, Ornithorhynchidae. The record is from RefSeq and is a predicted model, not a curated record. The transcript has 2 exons.
CCCAGCACUUAGUACCGUUGGUUAAAAAAAAUAGUUGGUUGACAUAAUCCCUGCCUUCCAGCAGCUAACAACCAAGUAGCCCCCCGUCAGCCUUGGCCAGUGGCCACCCACCCCAGCUGAGAGAGCCGUGGAAGGGAGCAGAGAUGAGGGGAAAGGCUGGAAAGAACCAACGAAAAAACAGGUAUCCUCAGCCUCUGUGGGGAUGUAAAUUCCCACUCUGUCCAUUUCGGAUGGCAUUCAGAUUGAAGGCAUCGAGCCUUGGCCGACAUCCCCAGGUAUCCGAACAGCUUCUGCCCCUGACCAACUUCUCUGGAAUCGUGCCCCAAGGCUGAGCACGGGACUCUUCUCCAGAAUGAAAGACAAACCUAAUUAAAUCUCAAUUACAGUGAAAACUCAAGUGAUCUGGAAGCCCGGAGGCCAGUUUGGGUAGCAGCCCACAUUCAGCAACUGAGUUUUAUCUCAGUCCUCCCCUGUUUCACAGCACCCCAGGGGAUACCACAGGCCCCCGAGUGCCCUAUCGGGGUUCACCUUAUUCCCCCAGAGACCUGGGGUCCUCAGAGGAGAAGCAGUGCUGCUAAAUCGGCACCGUUUGUUACUCGGGACAGCGUCUUCUUCCGUGUGGAGGAAGAGGAGGGGGAAGGAUAGUAGAAGCCCUCGUAGUAUUGAGUGCUUACCCUGUGCAAGGCACUGUACUAGGCCCUGGGAAAGAAGUAGAUGGACGAAGUAUAGAUUCAGUCCCUAGACCCUGAGGACUCCCUAUCCAAGAAUAAGCAGGGGAAGGGGUUAGGAACAGACACUCCCAAAGAUGAUUAAAAAUAUAAGACAAGGACGCCGGGAAGCAUGAAAAGAGAAGCAAGAUUUUAGGCUUUUCCUGGCUCAGACCGAGAGACACAAAAGUGCUCCCCGAGACUGUGAACCUUUUCGAAGUUCUCAAAGUUAAAUCAGGACUACUAGGUUUUCUAGGUACCCAGAGUCCAGAGGCAGCAUUUUUCCUGUAACCAGGUAGCCGUGGCUGAAUUAAAGGAGAAACUGAUUACACCUUGACACCAUUUUCAGAGUGGAGUAGCUUCCGAUCCACGGAACUGCAUGGGGAAAAGACAGUCUUCACGCUGUAAUCUGAAAUUACCCAUUCUUCGGUGAUGGAGAAACUGGGUUUGUUUGUGUAGGGAGGGAUAAAGUAAUAUUGUAUUCGUCUAGCCAACAGAUCAUUUUUGAGCUGCUCAUAUCAUCGCUGAUUGAAUGAAUGAAUCGCUGUGUCGUCUGGGGAGUGUGCUUCCAAACACAGUUACCAGCCUGAAGGAACGCUUAAAUUGUGAAAUCAAGCUACCUGGAGGAAGCGGCUGCCGGGACUUGUGACAACUGUGAAAACUUAACGACAACGGCCUUUUUACAGACAGUUUGCAGAAGGAUAUCACGGUUAUGUAAACCUUGUCUGGGUAGCAAGUCUUCUGGCCGUGAACAUUUCACUAGUCUGGAAAAAAACCAUUAAAAGAUUAUUCUGGAA